RNAcentral lists this long non-coding RNA (2186 nucleotides) under Homo sapiens (human). RNAcentral describes it as "HSALNT0294510". The record is from RNAcentral. Lineage: Eukaryota; Metazoa; Chordata; Mammalia; Primates; Hominidae.
UGAGCUAUGAUUGCACCACUGCACUCCAGUCUGGGCGACAGAACCAGACCAUGUCUAAAAAGAAAAAACACUCAGUGAUAAUUUCACAUUACAGUUUGAGAGGUUCCUGUUGACUUGGGGAAACUAGUUUUAGCAGACUUCAUUAAAGGAGUGUACACCUUACUACAGGAUGUAAUUUAAAAUAGAAUGUUUAAAUAAUAAAUUCACUUCUGGGUAUAUACUCAAAGCAGGAAUUCAAACAGGUAUUUGUACACCAAAGUUCGUAACAGCAUUAUUCACAGUAGCCAAAAUGUGGAAACAACCCAAAUGUCCAUUAAAGGAUGAAUAAACAAAAUGUGAUAUACAUACAAUGGAAUAUUCAGCCUUUAUUUUUCCAAUCAGAGUUUCAGGAAAAUCAACCUUUAAAAGGAGUGAAAUUCUGACAUUUGCUGCCACAUGGAUGAAUCUUGAUGAUGAUAUGCUGAGUGAUAUAUAAUCAGUCACGGAAGGACAAAUACUGCAUGAUUCAAUUUAUAUCAGAAGACUAAGGGGCCCCACGGAGAGGCCCACAUGGAGAAAACUCAAUCCCCCCUCACCCGCUAUCCCAGGCUGUCAGCCAGCACCACCUUGUCUUGCCAGCCAUGUGAGUGAGCCAUGUUGGAAGUGAAUCCUCCAGGCCCGGUAGUGCUUUGCUAAUGACUGACCGGUGUGGAUGUAUAAAAGUCCAGCUCCGUGAUCUCAGACUUCCGGCCUCCAGAACUCAGGCCCUGACAUUGUAUAAGCUUCAGGCCCCACAAAACCUGGAUCUGCCCUGCCAGGAUCAGCAUCUAGAGGAAAACUACUACUUCCACAAUAGCACAACCAAUCUGAUCAUCCCUGCAUCAGUGAGCAUUCUCCAGAGAAACAGAGCCAACAGGAUAUGUGUAUAUAUGUGAAGAAAGACUUAUUUUAAGGAGUUGGCUCAUGCAAUUAUGGAGGUGCAAGUCCAAAAUCUGUAGGGCAGGCAGAUGGGCAGACUGGAGACCCAGAGAAGAGUUGCAGUUCAAGUCCAAAGUCGGUUGGAAGAAUUCCCUCUUGCUGGGUAACACUGGGGAAGCAGGAGUAGAUGGAAAGGGGAGGUGUCAGGCUUUGCUCUACCAAGGACUUCAACUGAUUGGAUGAGGCCCAGUAACAUUAUGGAGGGAAACCUGCUUUGCUCAGAGUUUACUGAUUUAAAUAUUAAUCUCAUCCACAAAAAAAUAAAUAACCUUCACAGAAACAUUUAGAAUAUUUGACCAAAUAUCUAAGUCCCAUGGCUCAGACAACUUAACACAUAAAAUUAUCCAUCACAAUUCCAUUAUCCCAAUACAGGUCGGCAGGGCCUUGGGCAGGUGGUAACCUCAGCUCUGGAGUCUACAGCAAUACUCUCACACUUAACAGAUGUAGUUCUGUGGGUCCAGGUCCCACUUCGCAAGAGAGAAUCUGAUGGGCUAAUUUCGACCAAGUCUCCUUUCCUAGUUCAAUCACGUGUAAGGGUUAGAGAAAGGGUUGGGCUCACAAGGGACUUAGGGCUGCCUCUCUGGACUUGGGAGAGCAGGACUUCUCAAGAGAUAAAUGGUUAGAGAGUAAUAUAAUUUGGAUAUUUGUCCCCUAUAAAUCUCAUGUUGAAAUUUGAUGUUCAAUGUUGAGGGCAGGUCUGGGACCUCCCUCCCUGCUUUUGCUCCCCCUCUCGCCAUAUGGCACAACUGCUCCCUUCACCUUCUGCUAUGAAUGGAAGCUUCCUGAGGCCUUCACCAAAAGCGGAGGCUGGUACCAUGCUUCACGCACAGCCUGCAGAAUCAUGAGCCAAAUAAACUACUUUUCUUUAUAAAUCAUCCAGUUUCAGGUAUUCGCUUAUAGCAACACAAAAUGGACUAAUACAGAGAGGAAAUAUUUUGAGCACAUUGAAGGCCCCAAAAUAUUGAGCUUUUUUUUUUUAACCUAUAUAGUACUUUUCUUGCAUCUCAGUUUGCUUAUCUAUAGAAUGAGGAUUAAUAAGACCUACCAACUUCAGGGGGUCAUUCUGGUGAGAUAAGUGAAAAAAUUUGUAAAGAAGUGUAUAAAUUUACCAUUGUUUUUUAAAACUAAAAUGAUCUCUAACACUAAGUUGAUGAUCUGAUCACAAAGAUGGGGUAGAUGAAAUGAAGAGAAAAGGUUUCUGACAUUUGUAUACUUAGAAAUGUAUCCAG